This 253-nucleotide ribosomal RNA is filed under the name uncultured bacterium. Its description in RNAcentral is "partial 16S ribosomal RNA". It matches the Rfam family "Bacterial small subunit ribosomal RNA", at positions 524 to 776 of the family's 1533-position model. The record is from RNAcentral.
UACGUAGGGUGCGAGCGUUAAUCGGAAUUACUGGGCGUAAAGCGUGCGCAGGCGGUUGUGCAAGACAGAUGGGAAAUCCCCGGGCUCAACCUGGGAACUGCAUUUGUGACUGCACGGCUGGAGUGCGGCAGAGGGGGAUGGAAUUCCGCGUGUAGCAGUGAAAUGCGUAGAUAUGCGGAGGAACACCGAUGGCGAAGGCAAUCCCCUGGGCCUGCACUGACGCUCAUGCACGAAAGCGUGGGGAGCAAACAGG